RNAcentral lists this unclassified non-coding RNA (263 nucleotides) under plant metagenome. RNAcentral describes it as "partial contains small subunit ribosomal RNA, internal transcribed spacer 1, and 5.8S ribosomal RNA". The record is from RNAcentral.
UUUCCGUAGGUGAACCUGCGGAAGGAUCAUUAUCGAGUUUUGACUGGGUUGUUGCUGGCCUUCCGAGGCAUGUGCACGCCCUCCUCAUCCACUCUACACCUGUGCACUUACUGUGGUCACGAGAGGGUGAAGCGUGCUCUUUUACCGGAGCUUGUGACGCGUGUCUGUGCCUGCGUUUAUCACAAACACUAUAUAGUAUCACAAUGUGUAUUACGAUGUAACACAUCUAUAUACAACUUUCAGCAACGGAUCUCUUGGCUCUG